This 448-nucleotide ribosomal RNA is filed under the name uncultured bacterium. RNAcentral describes it as "bacterial SSU rRNA". It matches the Rfam family "Bacterial small subunit ribosomal RNA", at positions 328 to 792 of the family's 1533-position model. The record is from RNAcentral.
CGGCCAGACUCCUACGGGAGGCAGCAGUGGGGAAUAUUGCACAAUGGGGGGAACCCUGAUGCAGCGACGCCGCGUGGGUGAAGGAGUGCUUCGGCAUGUAAAGCCCUAUCGGCAGGGAAGAAGCAAGACGGUACCUGACUAAGAAGCCCCGGUUAACUACGUGCCAGCAGCCGCGGUAAUACGUAGGGGGCGAGCGUUAUCCGGAUUCACUGGGUGUAAAGGGGGCGCAGACGGCAAUGCAAGCCAGGAGUGAAAGCCCGGGGCCCAACCCCGGGACUGCUCUUGGAACUGCAUGGCUGGAGUACAGGAGGGGCAGGCGGAAUUCCUAGUGUAGCGGUGAAAUGCGUAGAUAUUAGGAGGAACACCGGUGGCGAAGGCGGCCUGCUGGUCUGUGACUGACGUUGAGGCCCGAAGGCGUGGGGAGCAAACAGGAUUAGAUACCCCGGUA